Molecule: long non-coding RNA, 539 nt
Organism: Mytilus californianus (California mussel)
Lineage: Eukaryota; Metazoa; Mollusca; Bivalvia; Mytilida; Mytilidae
Exons: 3
Source: RefSeq, a predicted model, not a curated record
UAUCCCAAUGAGGGAUAGUGUUGAGACUGACGAAUACUGUUUGAUGCAUUGUGGGAAAUGCCGUUGCGACAACAACAAAGACGCCUUACUGAUUUUAAAAGCAAUAUUUACACAAGAAGAAAAAUUUAGCAGUUUAAAGGAGAGACAUGGGCAGUUUUCCAGUCAUCUGGAACAACACCUGUUUUAACUGACUUCUCAAAGAUAAUGAUUAAAGACUGAGGACAGAUGUCAAGAGGGAAGGAAAAAGUCACCGAUUCAACCAUCAAAAUACUUUGCCUAUACUUAACAGUAACGACUAGUUCAGUCAGUUUUCAAUUGAUGAUGCAAGUAGUAAUUAUUAAACUUAACUAGGUCAAGAUCUUUAUACAUAUUUAGUCAAGCGUUCUACCUUUGGAAUUACACUUGUGUUCAGGUUGUUUUGCUCAUUUGUAUCAACGACAGAGCCAAAAGCGAAAUAUGCGUCUUUGUUUUCCUAUUUUUGCUUCUUGUUGUGCAUACUUCAUUAAUGAAAUCAUUUGUAAAUUAAAGUUUUUAAAGUG